Molecule: long non-coding RNA, 1925 nt
Filed under: Homo sapiens (human)
Lineage: Eukaryota; Metazoa; Chordata; Mammalia; Primates; Hominidae
Description: HSALNT0372764
Source: RNAcentral
AUCUGCAUCUCUGUGCCUCCUUUUCUGCUAGGGACCAUUGCUAGAGAGCUACUGUGAGCCUCUGGUGAUGUCACAAUAUUCAGACAGAAUUCUCACACUGGUUCCUUCUCAUCUGGAGAUGGCUGUAGUGGGCAGGCUGUUUUGGCUCUGCUUCUACAGACCUAUGCAGCAGGUUUUGUAUUGGGUUCAACCUACAGGCCAAUAGAUGACAUUUGCAGGUGAAGAGCUGGAUAGUGGGGUUCCUGGUGUUCCGUGGAAGAGGCCGGACACAAUUGGGCAGAGCUGGAGCCUCUGGCUUGCCCAUGUGUAUCCCAAUGGCAAGCACAGGCACCAGCCCUGAAAAGGGUGGCUGGGAGAUGCUCUUAGGGACAUGCCCCAGAGAUCUCUGUGUGGGGCAGAGUGAGGAGGCUUCACUGGCUCCCGCAUGGUAGACAGACAUGAACAGAAUCUAUUUCCCUAUCACACCCAUUGCAGGUACUUCAGAUGCACACUGUAGUCUAUCUCCAGACCACAGUGUGGUUGAUUGAAAGCCUCAGGAAACCUUGUUUUCCAGAAGAAAAUAAACUUGAUGUUUUCUUUGGGCCUAUCAUUAUCAUCACUAUGAUUAUCAUGUACAGUUUGCUUGAAUUUACCACAAAAUUCAAUGCUUGCUUAAUAUUAAAAAAUGAGACGGUUGUUCUCCAAGAUUGUGUACAUUAUUAUUUAACCAUCUUCUUCUAAAUAAAGGACGAUGAAAAACUUAAGAUUUACUCUAGUUUUCCUCUGCCAGUUCAAUGACAUACUGCUUGAGAAAUGGAAAAACUGGAGUUUCAACUCCCUAUUUAGUAUGGCAGCUAUUCUGUUCCUGGCACGGCCAUUUGUGUUGUGUUGUGAGCCCAUUAAAAGUGAUUCUAUGUUUUUUCCAUAGAUGUCGUCUUUGGUAGUUGGCAUUCUUCCCAGAGGAAGAUAAUGGGAAUCAGACAUGCUUCUGAUUGUCCCACCAGCCAGCUGCCGGUUUCAGCCCAAGCCAUUCUGAAUUGGAGGAUGAUGGUCUAGCUUUACUUCUCAAAUAGGCUACUCCUUCCCACAUGGUCAGGUCGCAGACGAAAAAUCAGUCUCCUGGGAAAGCUCUCAGCCUGAUUGAGAAAGGAGACCUAUAAAGAAACAAUUACAAUACAGCACUCAAAAUGUCACAGGGGAAAAAGUUUCUAUAGAAAAUGGAAGACAAUGUCUAAAUUCAGCGGCCUAAAGUGAGCAAUUCCGUGAAUAUUUACCUCCUAGUUAAUCUGUCAUGACCCAUUAUGUUAAUAGUUGGGAGACUGGCUUCAAUUCUGGAAAAGACGCAGGUGUGAAGAAUCUGAACGUAUUUCCAAACUAGGGACUAGAAGAGGGCUUCAGUGCCAGUGGGGGCUUGGUGCCAGGGAUAGGAAGUGAACAGAGACAAGGUUAAAAGGCAAGAUGUCUGAAAGGGAGUAGUUGUUUAGGGGUGAAGAGGCAGAGAGAACACGGGUAGUUUCUAGUGCUUUAGGGUCCUGAGUAUAAUUUGCAUCACCAUUUUUAAGAAGGAGAGAUGGGUAAAGCUGGAAUCCCAAAGUCACGGUUGCCUCAUGACAUUAGAUCUUGAAGGAAAAAUUAACUGUGUUUCUCAGUAGGUGGUAGUAAAGAUGUGGCUGCUGCUUUAAUUCCAGCCUAGGUCAGUACACACUCAGGACCUGGAAUGUGACUGAACAUGCAUGUCAAGGUGUCAAUUACUCCUCCUUAAGGAGCUAAACUUGCAGGUGCAGAGGGAGGGAGACUAAAUCUCACAAAUGUUUAAUGAUAAUAAAAAAGAUAUGCACAGAAAUUUUUAUUUUCAUUGUACGAGGAUUUUAAUGCUUUAUCUUAAAAAUGUGUAGAAUAACUGUUCUUUAAAAGUUGCCAAUAUGAAUAUUAUUUUGUAUGAACCU